RNAcentral lists this transfer RNA (68 nucleotides) under Neritina violacea. Its description in RNAcentral is "tRNA-Ser". RNAcentral also lists the same sequence under 1 other name. Lineage: Eukaryota; Metazoa; Mollusca; Gastropoda; Cycloneritida; Neritidae. The record is from RNAcentral.
AAGCUUGGUUGGGAACAAAGCGGGGCUGCUAACUUCGUUUUGGGUAGUUCAACUCUAUCCUGAGCUUU